Parasteatoda tepidariorum (common house spider) is the source of this 257-nucleotide non-coding RNA. Lineage: Eukaryota; Metazoa; Arthropoda; Arachnida; Araneae; Theridiidae. The record is from RefSeq and is a predicted model, not a curated record.
ACUGCAACUUUUAUUCAUUUUUAGGUUUGUGCUAUUUUAUGGUCUAAAGAAUAUAAAGAGUUAAUAUCAGGACAUGGAUUUGCAAAUAAUGAAUUAAUAAUAUGGAAAUACCCAUCAAUGGCAAAAGUAGCUGAACUGAUUGGUCAUAAAUCUAGAAUUUUGAAUUUGGCUAUGAGUCCUGAUGGAAAAACUGUUGUUUCUGCUGGUGCUGAUGAAACUCUGAGGCUUUGGAAUUGCUUUGCUUCGGAUCCAAAGAA